CAUUGGUGACUGAACAUCUUCAGUGAGAACAUCACAGUCCUUCAAAGUAUUUAAGUGUAAGGUACUUGAUACAAAAAUACAAAGAUGUUGUGAUGAGGAACACACAUCUAUUUUACAUAGAAUAGAAACUCAACACAGCAUCUUUGUUUUUAAAUACCUGAAAGAUUUCAAUGAAGCACUCACACUGACUGUCUAUUGUCACAUGACUUGACCAAUUUCUCCAACCAUAUAUUGGCGUGUCUUUUACAUUAUUACCCCCAAAUAAGCCUUCUUUGGAUAUAGAUUGCCACAUCCUUAUACCUACCCUCCACUGUUCCAUUGAUUCUUUUUUUAUUUCUCUCUUUAAAAUUUUAUUUAUCGGAAACUAAAUACAAAGUAAGAAAAAAAAGCAAAAUAGAAAAAGAAAGACAGAAAAGGAAAAUGAAAAUAAAAAUUGGACCAUGCUGUUUCUUUAAAGAUCACUAUCUGAGGAGAGAGAUAAUAUGAUGUGCAAAGAUAAUCAUAUGCAACACAGAACAAGUGCAUUAAAAAGAAAAAAUCAAAGUUUCUGUGACAAGAAAGAAAUUACUUUUCACUUUUGGCUUCCUUGGAGGUCAGUUUGGGAUUGGGCAAAAAGGGCUUUGUAAAGACUUUGUUGGGUAAAUGGAAAGUGGUUUAGUCAAUCAGUCAAGGAGCAUUUAUUAAGCAUUCACUAUGUAAAAGUACUAUUAACAUUUCAAGUAGAGAUAGAUUGGGGUUAGGAAGGAAUGAAUAAAAAACACUGCUCAAUUUCUACAUGACACUGUUCUUGGUGCUGGGGAUGGGAAUAGAACAAGAUGGUCCCUGUUCUCAAGGAGCUCACAUUCUAAAAUAGGGAGAUAACACAUGUAGAAGUUUCAGCAUUAAGUCAGAUAGAAAAACCCUAGAAUCCUUUGGAUGUAACAGCAAAGCAGAUGGCCAUGCAUCUUUAAUGUCAUUUUUACCAUAUGUACUUCUGAUGUUGAAUCUGUUGACAGAGUCAAGGACUUUGUUUUCAAGAACUUUCCUGUGUUUAUAGAAGCUGUUGAAGAUGAGAGUAAGAGGCUGUGACAACUGCAGAAACAGUUUUCUGGUAGCAUCAGGACCAAGGAUUGAUUCCUUGGAUAAGAACUUGGGUGAAAGCAGGGUGCAAAGUCUGAGGGGUGUUGCUAUUUCUAGGAUUUUGGUUCUUUGGGCCUCAAUCUGGGACCAGGGAAAGGGGUUGGUAAUGUUUUGAACUGCUUGGCACUUGCUUCUUUCUGUAUUUCCUCCAAGGUAUCUUGCUGCUUCAACUAGGUUGGCUUGUCUACACAAUUGAGGCCAUUGCAUGGAGUUGAUAGAUUGGCUGAUUCUUCUCCAGGAACUGUUGAUACCUGGGCUGGAAUCAGGACCCUUGAUCUAGGGGAUGCUACUUACUAUUCCCAGUGCUCUUGGACUCAGGGCCCUGGGCUUUUUCUGAUGGGGCUCUGAGGAGGCAAAGUUGGUAACUGUGGUCUGACUUGUCUGGAAUGGGCCACCUCUUCUCCAGUAAAGGAAGAAGCAGGAAUAUUUGCUGAGAUGUCGGGAUAGGGAUGAAGAAAGCAUCUGAGAACCUUAGAUGCAUUUUUUAAAAGGGCCAUUGAAACAUUUUCAAAAAUGCAUAGAAGAGAAAAGAAACAACUUCAGAAGGAAACAUAGACACACAGGAGAGUUUUGAAGGUCAUGUGUCCAUUUUGACUGCACUGGAAUGGAUCUGGGAGGUAAUCCAGUUUAAUUUACAGAAAUGGAAACUGAGAGUCAAAGAAAUGAAAAGUCUUGCCCAAAGAAGAAUUAAAUUACAGGAAAUAAAUGGCAGAGCCAAAAUUUGUAUUCCA
Long non-coding RNA from Antechinus flavipes (yellow-footed antechinus), 1850 nucleotides. RefSeq lists it as uncharacterized. The record is from RefSeq and is a predicted model, not a curated record. The transcript is spliced from 4 exons. Lineage: Eukaryota; Metazoa; Chordata; Mammalia; Dasyuromorphia; Dasyuridae.